GGGGGUAUAGCUCAGUGGUGGUAUCCGAAGGUCGGGGGUUCGACUCCCUCUGCCUCCA
RNAcentral lists this transfer RNA (58 nucleotides) under Pristionchus pacificus. It matches the Rfam family "tRNA". Rfam says of the family: Transfer RNA (tRNA) molecules are approximately 80 nucleotides in length. Their secondary structure includes four short double-helical elements and three loops (D, anti-codon, and T loops). Further hydrogen bonds mediate the characteristic L-shaped molecular structure. tRNAs have two regions of fundamental functional importance: the anti-codon, which is responsible for specific mRNA codon recognition, and the 3' end, to which the tRNAs corresponding amino acid is attached (by aminoacyl-tRNA synthetases). tRNAs cope with the degeneracy of the genetic code in two manners: having more than one tRNA (with a specific anti-codon) for a particular amino acid; and 'wobble' base-pairing, i.e. permitting non-standard base-pairing at the 3rd anti-codon position. The record is from Rfam by way of RNAcentral. Lineage: Eukaryota; Metazoa; Nematoda; Chromadorea; Rhabditida; Neodiplogasteridae.